AUGGCUUGCCGGUGAUCUCCGUACGUCUGCCGUCCCGACGAGAACGCUGCCAGUUCACCCUCAAACCCUUGAGCGACACGGUGGGUGUUCUCCUUCAGCAGCUGCAGGCGGAGGACAGGGGCAUCGAUAGAGUCACCAUCUACUCUACAGAUGGAGCAAGAAUAGCGUCCUCUACAGGGAUUGACAUUUUACUUAUGGACAGCUUUAAGCUAGUCAUUAAUGACACAACAUACGUGGUGCAGCCGCCUAGGAGAGAUCUGCUACCGCACGAGGAAGCAGAACGACUGAACGAUGUCAAGCUCUUGGUGCAGCAGCUGUACACCACCCUGCGCAUAGAAGAUCAUCAGCUCACCAAAGAGAGAGAGCUGAUUGGACGACUGGAGGACCUCAACUCUCAGAUCCAGCCCUUGGA
Long non-coding RNA from Sinocyclocheilus rhinocerous, 412 nucleotides. RefSeq lists it as uncharacterized. Lineage: Eukaryota; Metazoa; Chordata; Actinopteri; Cypriniformes; Cyprinidae. The transcript is spliced from 3 exons. The record is from RefSeq and is a predicted model, not a curated record.